CUCAGUGGCGAACGGGUGGGUAACGCGUUGGUGACCUGCCCCGGAGAGAGGGAUAACAGAUCGAAAGGUCUGCUAAUACCGCAUGAAAUGCCUGGAGUUAGAGACUGGGCAUCAAAGGAGAAAUCCGCUCUGGGAGGGGCCUGCGUCCCAUCAGCUAGUUGGUGAGGUAAAAGCCCACCAAGGCGAUGACGGGUAGGGGACCUGAGAGGGUGGCCCCCCACAAUGGAACUGAAACACGGUCCAUACACCUACGGGUGGCAGCAGUAGGGAAUAUUGCUUAAUGGGCGAAAGCCUGAAGCAGCAACGCCGCGUGUGCGAUGAAGGCCUUCGGGUUGUAAAGCACUUUUCGAGGGGAUGAGGAAGGACAGUACCCUUGGAAUAAGUCUCGGCUAACUACGUGCCAGCAGCCGCGGUAACACGUAGGAGGCGAACGUUAUCCGGAUUUACUGGGCGUAAAGCGCGUGUAGGUGGUUUGGUAAGUAGGGCGUGAAAGCUCCCGGCUCAACUGGGAGAGGCCGUUCUAAACUGCCAAGCUAGAGGAUGGUAGAGGGAGGUGGAAUUCCGGGUGUAGCGGUGGAAUGCGCAGAUAUCCGGAGGAACACCAGUGGCGAAAGCGGCCUCCUGGGCCACUCCUGACACUCAGACGCGAAAGCUAGGUAGCAACGGGAUUAGAGACCCCGGUAGUCCUAGCCCUAACGAUGUAGACUUGGCGUCGGUGGUUUAAACGCAUCGUGUCGCAGCUAACGCGAUAGUCUACGCCUGGGACUACCGCCGCAAGGUAAACUCAAGGAAUGAC
This 796-nucleotide ribosomal RNA is filed under the name uncultured bacterium. RNAcentral's name for it is "bacterial SSU rRNA". It matches the Rfam family "Bacterial small subunit ribosomal RNA", at positions 91 to 914 of the family's 1533-position model. The record is from RNAcentral.